RNAcentral lists this ribosomal RNA (528 nucleotides) under Enterobacteriaceae bacterium C9. Its description in RNAcentral is "bacterial SSU rRNA". It matches the Rfam family "Bacterial small subunit ribosomal RNA", at positions 1 to 522 of the family's 1533-position model. The record is from RNAcentral. Lineage: Bacteria; Pseudomonadati; Pseudomonadota; Gammaproteobacteria; Enterobacterales; Enterobacteriaceae.
UGGAGAGUUUGAUCCUGGCUCAGAUUGAACGCUGGCGGCAGGCCUAACACAUGCAAGUCGAGCGGUAGCACAGGGGAGCUUGCUCMCCGGGUGACGAGCGGCGGACGGGUGAGUAAUGUCUGGGAAACUGCCCGAUGGAGGGGGAUAACUACUGGAAACGGUGGCUAAUACCGCAUAACGUCUUCGGACCAAAGUGGGGGACCUUCGGGCCUCACACCAUCGGAUGUGCCCAGAUGGGAUUAGCUAGUAGGUGGGGUAAUGGCUCACCUAGGCGACGAUCCCUAGCUGGUCUGAGAGGAUGACCAGCCACACUGGAACUGAGACACGGUCCAGACUCCUACGGGAGGCAGCAGUGGGGAAUAUUGCACAAUGGGCGCAAGCCUGAUGCAGCCAUGCCGCGUGUGUGAAGAAGGCCUUCGGGUUGUAAAGCACUUUCAGCGAGGAGGAAGGGUUCAGUGUUAAUAGCACUGUUCAUUGACGUUACUCGCAGAAGAAGCACCGGCUAACUCCGUGCCAGCAGCCGCGGUA